UAGCGCAACAGACUAAUUUCCAGCAUCUAGUUCAGGAGAAUGACUAUUCCGAUUCUUGAUGACACCAAGUUUUGGAUAGUGAGGUUUACAAGAAGCAGAUUUUUGACGAUGUACAGAUUGACCAUAUAUCUUUUGCUGGGAAUGUCAAUAAAAUUUUACAUUACAGUCGAGGGUUAUUAGUGAUAUGUAGUUUUUUUGCUAAGGGUUUAUGAACACAAUACUGUGACUCGCUUACAUUAUUGAUGUGCGGUGCAAGUAACUGUUGUUGAUCACUUUUGGUAAUUAUUUUAUGAAAGUAGUAUCAUCUUUAUAUUAA
This is a non-coding RNA of Nicotiana tabacum (common tobacco), 316 nucleotides long. Lineage: Eukaryota; Viridiplantae; Streptophyta; Magnoliopsida; Solanales; Solanaceae. The record is from RefSeq and is a predicted model, not a curated record.